RNAcentral lists this ribosomal RNA (617 nucleotides) under Amanita sp. Its description in RNAcentral is "partial large subunit ribosomal RNA". It matches the Rfam family "Eukaryotic large subunit ribosomal RNA", at positions 34 to 610 of the family's 3401-position model. The record is from RNAcentral. Lineage: Eukaryota; Fungi; Basidiomycota; Agaricomycetes; Agaricales; Amanitaceae.
CUAGCAUAUCAAUAAGCGGAGGAAAAGAAACUAACGAGGAUUCCCCUAGUAACUGCGAGUGAAGCGGGAAAAGCUCAAAUUUGAAAUCUGGCAGUCUUUUUUUCCUUCUUUGGCUGUCCGAGUUGUAAUCUAGAGAAGCGUUUACCUGCGCUGGACCAUGUAUAAGUCUCCUGGAACGGAGCGUCACAGAGGGUGAGAAUCCCGUCUUUGACAUGGACUGCCAGCGUGUUGUGGUGCGCUCUCAAAGAGUCGAGUUGUUUGGGAAUGCAGCUCUAAAUGGGUGGUAAACUCCAUCUAAAGCUAAAUAUUGGCGAGAGACCGAUAGCGAACAAGUACCGUGAGGGAAAGAUGAAAAGGACUUUGGAAAGAGAGUUAAACAGUAUGUGAAAUUGUUGAAAGGGAAACGCUUGAAGUCAGUCAUGUCGGCUGGGGAUCAACCUAGCUGCUUCUGCUGGGUGAACUUCCUAGUCUGACAGGCCAACAUCAGUUCUGACUGCUGGAAAAGAGCAAGGGGAAUGUGGCACCUUCGGGUGUGUUAUAGCCUUUUGUCAUGUGUGGCAGUCAGGACUGAGGGAUGCAGCGCGCCGCAAGGCAGGGUUCGACCACGUCGCGCGUAG